CAGGCCUAACACAUGCAAGUCGAACGGCAGCGCGGGGCAACCUGGCGGCGAGUGGCGAACGGGUGAGUAAUAUAUCGGAACGUACCCUGGAGUGGGGGAUAACGUAGCGAAAGUUACGCUAAUACCGCAUACGAUCUAAGGAUGAAAGUGGGGGAUUCGCAAGAACCUCAUGCUCCUGGAGCGGCCGAUAUCUGAUUAGCUAGUUGGUGGGGUAAAGGCCUACCAAGGCAUCGAUCAGUAGCUGGUCUGAGAGGACGACCAGCCACACUGGAACUGAGACACGGUCCAGACUCCUACGGGAGGCAGCAGUGGGGAAUUUUGGACAAUGGGCGAAAGCCUGAUCCAGCAAUGCCGCGUGAGUGAAGAAGGCCUUCGGGUUGUAAAGCUCUUUUGUCAGGGAAGAACGGUGAGAGCUAAUAUCUCUUGCUAAUGACGGUACCUGAAGAAUAAGCACCGGCUAACUACGUGCCAGCAGCCGCGGUAAUACGUAGGGUGCAAGCGUUAAUCGGAAUUACUGGGCGUAAAGCGUGCGCAGGCGGUUUUGUAAGUCUGUCGUGAAAUCCCCGGGCUCAACCUGGGAAUUGCGAUGGAGACUGCUAGGCUAGAAUCUGGCAGAGGGGGGUAGAAUUCCACGUGUAGCAGUGAAAUGCGUAGAGAUGUGGAGGAACACCGAUGGCGAAGGCAGCCCCCUGGGUCAAGAUUGACGCUCAUGCACGAAAGCGUGUGGAGCAAACAGGAUUAGAUACCCUGGUAGUUCACGCCCUAAACGAUGUCUACUAGUUGUCGGGUUUUUAUUUACUUUGGUAACGCAGCUAACGCGUGAAGUAGACCGCCUGGGGAGUACGGGUCGCAAGAUUAAACUCAA
RNAcentral lists this ribosomal RNA (865 nucleotides) under uncultured bacterium. RNAcentral describes it as "bacterial SSU rRNA". It matches the Rfam family "Bacterial small subunit ribosomal RNA", at positions 43 to 904 of the family's 1533-position model. The record is from RNAcentral.